UUCCGUCACAGUUGUGACGAUUUGGGUCUGCACCGGAAGUGCCUGUGCUGCCGAUGUGGUACCUUUUGACCGCGGUUUCGGUCGCUCUGCCUUGUUUUCCUUGCUGGGUGUUUGCGUUGCGCCAUGGCGCCCAAGGGCAAAGUGGGCACGAGAGGGAAGAAGCAGAUAUUUGAAGAGAACAGAGAGACUCUGAAGUUCUAUUUGCGGAUCAUACUGGGGGCAAAUGCCAUUUACUGUCUUGUGACCUUGGUGUUCUUCUACUCAUCUGCCUCAUUUUGGGCCUGGAUGGCCCUGGGCUUUAGCCUGGCAGUAUAUGGGGCCAGCUACCACUCUAUGAGCUCAAUGGCACGGGCAGCCUUUUCUGAGGAUGGGGCCCUGAUGGAUGGUGGAAUGGACCUCAACAUGGAGCAGGGCAUGGCAGACCUCCUUUCUAUUCACAGGCACCUUAAGGAUGUGAUUCUACUGACAGCCAUCGUGCAAGUGCUUAGCUGCUUCUCCCUCUACAUCUGGUCCUUCUGGCUUCUGGCUCCAGGCCGGGCCCUUUACCUUCUGUGGGUGAAUGUGUUGGGCCCUUGGUUUACAGCAGACAGUGGCACCCCAGCACCGGAGCACAAUGAGAAACGGCAACGCCGGCAGGAGCGGCGGCAGAUGAAGCGGUUAUAGCCACUGACAUUAUGGCCACAGGCUGCACGGCCCCCAUGCCAGGAGCAAGGAGGGCCUCGUCCAGGGCCCAAAAGCGGUCUAAGGAUGGACACCAGAUUGGCCCAAGGAAGACAGCCUGACACAGAAAGGGGAGCAGU
Molecule: RNA transcript, 800 nt
Organism: Herpailurus yagouaroundi (jaguarundi)
Lineage: Eukaryota; Metazoa; Chordata; Mammalia; Carnivora; Felidae
Gene: TMEM208
Gene name: transmembrane protein 208
Exons: 7
Source: RefSeq, a predicted model, not a curated record